Molecule: long non-coding RNA, 268 nt
Filed under: Elaeis guineensis (African oil palm)
Lineage: Eukaryota; Viridiplantae; Streptophyta; Magnoliopsida; Arecales; Arecaceae
Description: long non-coding RNA (EGUI_LNC028067)
Source: RNAcentral
UUCCAACUAUUAAGGUUCUGGUUUCUACUAAUCAGAUUAAAUAUGUUAGAUCUAAUUAAUAAUUAAAAGAUAAUUAAGCUACAUGGAAGGAAUUAGACUUGGUCUUGGUCGACCAACUAGAGAAAAACAAUGUGACUCAGUCUAGACCCAAUUGGGUUUUAGAUCUAAUCUCCUUAGUAACAAAGAGAAAUCACAAUAUUAGGUCCACAAGUCAGGGAAAAGGGUAUAGCAUGUGGGAGAGGAGGGGGGAAGAUAGAGAGAAAGAGAG